Molecule: small nucleolar RNA, 91 nt
Organism: Acanthochromis polyacanthus (spiny chromis)
Lineage: Eukaryota; Metazoa; Chordata; Actinopteri; Pomacentridae
Product: small nucleolar SNORD12/SNORD106
Exons: 1
Source: RefSeq, a predicted model, not a curated record
CUGGUGGUUAAUGAUGCACGCUCUUUCCCCGACUGAUCGACUAUGCUGAUAUAGAUUUGUAAGAUAAGCCAAUUAUUUCUGAAACCACAAU